GGGGGGAGCAAACGUUUGUUCGGAAUCACUGGGCGUAAAGGGCGCGUAGGCGGCCCGGCAAGUGGUGUGUGAAAUGCCCUGGCUCAACCAGGGAACUGCGCAUCGAACUGCCGGGCUCGAGGUCAGUAGAGGAAGCUGGAAUUCUUGGUGUAGCGGUGAAAUGCGUAGAUAUCAAGAGGAACACCGUUGGCGAAGGCGAGCUUCUGGGCUGCACCUGACGCUGAGGCGCGAAAGCUGGGGGGGAGCAAACAGGAUUAGAUACCCUGGUAGUCCCAGCCGUAAACGGUGAACACUGGGUGUGGGGGGGUGUCGACCCCUUUCCGUGCCGAAGCUAACGCAUUAAGUGUUCCGCCUGGGGAGUACGGUCGCAAGGCUG
RNAcentral lists this ribosomal RNA (376 nucleotides) under uncultured organism. RNAcentral's name for it is "partial 16S ribosomal RNA". It matches the Rfam family "Bacterial small subunit ribosomal RNA", at positions 527 to 896 of the family's 1533-position model. The record is from RNAcentral.